Long non-coding RNA from Neofelis nebulosa (Clouded leopard), 656 nucleotides. RefSeq lists it as uncharacterized. The transcript has 2 exons. Lineage: Eukaryota; Metazoa; Chordata; Mammalia; Carnivora; Felidae. The record is from RefSeq and is a predicted model, not a curated record.
CUCUAGGGAGGUGGGGAUUUCUCUCCCCAUAAGGAUUUUCUUUUUUAUCAUCUGCCACCUUCUGGAAAAGUACAGAGUGGGAGUUUUUAUUCUGCCUACCCAUUGCCCCAUAGAAUAUGUAGAGGCAUUGGAGUAUGUCAGGAAAACCUAUAUAGGAAUGUGAGCAUGUUUUCAUGUCAGAAAGAACUGGUACAAUACUUUGAUAAGCACUGAAAGAAUAUAUUCAAAACUCUGUCACAAAACCAAAAUAAGCAAGCCUUCAGUCAGAAUGUUAUUUUCGCCAACAGAAAAAUUUUCCUUCUCCUUUGUGUAUUUUAUCUUUAGAUUUUAAGUGAUAUUGACUUUAAUGUUGAUCAAUUUGAACGCCAGCCUCUAGAAGAAAAUUUGCCUUAUUCUCUGGAAGAUGAUGGAUCUCAAAUUUUUGCACCCAUUUAAAGAACACAAGAUAUGGGUCUUUGAAACAUCUCCUUCCUGAACAUCGAUGUAUAUACUUCAUCUAACAAAUCAAAUUCUUACUCUAUGUUCUAUACACAUGAGUUUGGUUCUACUAUGAUGGCAUCUGUGGGUUAUAUCAUGUCUACCAAAGGAAAUGGAUAACAACAGCUCUGGAAUUUGAAUUUCUUUACUUUCACUAAUAAAUCUCUCUUGCAAGCAUA